GCAUGGAUACCCGAUUGCAUGUACUUAAUGAAUAACGAUCGGCUCACUCCGUGCCAGCACCCGCGGUAAUACGGAGGAUCCGAGCGUUAUCCGGAUUUAUUGGGUUUAAAGGGAGCGUAGAUGGAUGUUUAAGAUCGGUGUGAACGUAUGCGGCUCAACCGUAAAAAUUGCAGUUGAUACUGGAUAUCUUGAGUGCAGUUGAGGCAGGCGGAAUUCGUGGUGUAGCGGUGAAAUGCUUAGAUAUCACGAAGAACUCCGAUUGCGAAGGCAGCCUGCUAAGCUGCAACUGACAUUGAGGCUCGAAAGUGUGGGUAUCAAACAGGAUUAGAUACCCUGGUAGUCCACACGGUAAACGAUGAAUACUCGCUGUUUGCGAUAUACAGCAAGCGGCCAAGCGAAAGCGUUAAGUAUUCCACCUGGGGAGUACGCAGGCAACGGUGAAACUCAAAGGAAUUGACGGGGGCCCGCACAAGCGGAGGAACAUGUGGUUUAAUUCGAUGAUACGCGAGGAACCUUACCCGGGCUUAAAUUGCAGAUGAAUUACGGUGAAAGCCGUAAGCCGCAAGGCAUCUGUGAAGGUGCUGCAUGGUUGUCGUCAGCUCGUGCCGUGAGGUGUCGGCUUAAGUGCCAUAACGAGCGCAACCCUUGUUGUCAGUUACUAACAGGUUCUGCUGAGGACUCUGACAAGACUGCCAUCGUAAGAUGUGAGGAAGGUGGGGAUGACGUCAAAUCAGCACGGCCCUUACGUCCGGGGCUACACACGUGUUACAAUGGGGGGUACAGAGGGCCGCUACCACGCGAGUGGAUGCCAAUCCCCAAAACCUCUCUCAGUUCGGACUGGAGUCUGCAACCCGACUCCACGAAGCUGGAUUCGCUAGUAAUCGCGCAUCAGCCACGGCGCGGUGAAUACGUUCCCGGGCCUUGUACACACCGCCCGUCAAGCCAUGGGAGCCGGGGGUACCUGAAGUGCGUAACCGCGAGGAGCGCCCUAGGGUAAAACUGGUGACUGGGGCUA
RNAcentral lists this ribosomal RNA (1015 nucleotides) under uncultured organism. RNAcentral describes it as "SSU rRNA". It matches the Rfam family "Bacterial small subunit ribosomal RNA", at positions 455 to 1483 of the family's 1533-position model. The record is from RNAcentral.